Molecule: ribosomal RNA, 568 nt
Filed under: uncultured bacterium
Lineage: Bacteria
Description: bacterial SSU rRNA
Rfam family: Bacterial small subunit ribosomal RNA
Source: RNAcentral
CCUACGGGAGGCAGCAGUGGGGAAUAUUGCACAAUGGGCGAAAGCCUGAUGCAGCGACGCCGCGUGAGGGAUGACGGCCUUCGGGUUGUAAACCUCUUUCAGCAGGGAAGAAGCGAAAGUGACGGUAGUGGGAGAAGAAGCACCGGCCAACUACGUGCCAGCAGCCGCGGUAAUACGUAGGGUGCGAGCGUUGUCCGGAAUUACUGGGCGUAAAGAGCUCGUAGGCGGCUUGUCGCGUCGUCUGUGAAAUCCCGCAGCUCAACUGCGGGCUUGCAGGCGAUACUGGCAAACUUGAGUACUGCAGGGGAGACUGGAAUUCCUGGUGUAGCGGUGAAAUGCGCAGAUAUCAGGAGGAACACCGGUGGCGAAGGCGGGUCUCUGGGCAGUAACUGACGCUGAGGAGCGAAAGCGUGGGUAGCGAACAGGAUUAGAUACCCUGGUAGUCCACGCCGUAAACGGUGGGCGCUAGGUGUGGGUUUCCUUCCACGGGAUCCGUGCCGUAGCUAACGCAUUAAGCGCCCCGCCUGGGGAGUACGGCCGCAAGGCUAAAACUCAAAGGAAUUGACGG